Molecule: ribosomal RNA, 497 nt
Filed under: uncultured bacterium
Lineage: Bacteria
Description: partial 16S ribosomal RNA
Rfam family: Bacterial small subunit ribosomal RNA
Source: RNAcentral
GAUGAACGCUGGCGGCGUGCCUAAUACAUGCAAGUCGAGCGAACAGACGAGGAGCUUGCUCCUCUGACGUUAGCGGCGGACGGGUGAGUAACACGUGGAUAACCUACCUAUAAGACUGGGAUAACUUCGGGAAACCGGAGCCAAUACUGGAUAAUAUAUUGAACCGCAGGGUUCAAUAGUGAAAGACGGUUUUGCUGACACUUAUAGAUGGUUCCGUGCCGCAUUAGCGAGUUGGUAAGGUAACGGCUUACCAAGGCAACGAUGCGUAGCCGACCUGAGAGGGUGAUCGGCCACACUGGAACUGAGACACGGUCCAGACUCCUACGGGAGGCAGCAGUAGGGAAUCUUCCGCAAAGGGCGCAAGCUUGACGCAGCAACGCCGCGUGAGUGAUGAAGGUCUUCGGAUCGUAAAACUCUGUUAUUAGGAAAGAACAAAUGUGUAAGUAACUAUGCACGUCUUGACGGUACCUAAUCAGAAAGCCCCGGCUAACUACGUG